Molecule: ribosomal RNA, 424 nt
Filed under: uncultured archaeon
Lineage: Archaea
Description: bacterial SSU rRNA
Rfam family: Archaeal small subunit ribosomal RNA
Source: RNAcentral
CCGGGAAACUGGGGCUAAUACCAGAUAGGCGAAGACGCCUGGAAUGGUUCUUCAUCCAAAGGGCUUUGGAAACAUGCUUUUCAAAGUCGCCUGGGGAUGGGGCCGCGUCCGAUCAGGUUGUUGGUGAGGUAAUGGCUCACCAAGCCUAUAACCGGUACGGGCCGUGAGAUCGGUAGCCCGGAUAUGGGCACUGAGACAAGGGCCCAGGCCCUACGGGGCGCAGCAGUCGCUAAAACUCCGCAAUGCACGAAAGUGUGACGGGGCUACCCCGAGUGCCGUCCGCUGAGGAUGGCUUUACCUCAGUGUAACUAGCCGGGGGAAUAAGGAGAGGGCAAUACUGGUGUCAGCCGUCGUGGUAAUACCAGCUCUCCGAGUUGUAGGGAUGAUUAUUGGGCUUAAAGCGUCCGUAGCUGGCUUAGCAAGU